AUUGAACGCUGGCGGCAUGCUUUACACAUGCAAGUCGAACGGUAACAGGUUAAGCUGACGAGUGGCGAACGGGUGAGUAAUGCAUCGGAACGUGCCCGGUCGUGGGGGAUAACGCAGCGAAAGCUGCGCUAAUACCGCAUACGAUCUGAGGAUGAAAGCGGCGGACCGUAAGGCCUCGCGCGAUCGGAGCGGCCGAUGUCAGAUUAGGUAGUUGGUGGGGUAAAGGCUCACCAAGCCGACGAUCUGUAGCUGGUCUGAGAGGACGACCAGCCACACUGGGACUGAGACACGGCCCAGACUCCUACGGGAGGCAGCAGUGGGGAAUUUUGGACAAUGGGCGCAAGCCUGAUCCAGCAAUGCCGCGUGCAGGAAGAAGGCCUUCGGGUUGUAAACUGCUUUUGUACGAAGCGAAAAGGCUCUCUCUAAUACAGGGGGCUCAUGACGGUACCGUAAGAAUAAGCACCGGCUAACUACGUGCCAGCCGCCGCGGUAA
This 493-nucleotide ribosomal RNA is filed under the name uncultured bacterium. RNAcentral describes it as "partial 16S ribosomal RNA". It matches the Rfam family "Bacterial small subunit ribosomal RNA", at positions 30 to 523 of the family's 1533-position model. The record is from RNAcentral.